AGCUUAUCUUUUAUUCAUGGACAAGCGGCGUUCUUCGCUUUACUAGGACGGGCAUCAAUAUUUCAUCUCGCUUAGCCCUGCCAGCUCCUGGCUUCUCUCCACCCCCACUCUGCUUCCCACUGGCUUUAGGACCUGGAGGGCUGGGUAUGCUGGCCAGCCUAGAGUCAUCAGAUGCCAGGCUGCCUUCUUGGGCCCCUGACCUGUUCUCCACACAAUCCCUGGCAGAGCAGGGCCCCGCCUGGAGACCUUCCUUCGCCUGUUCAUGCUCCAUGCAAAGACAACCGCCAUCCUGGAAGGAUCUGUGAGAACCUUCCCCACACCCACUCCACAGGUUCCCACAUUAUUCACCGUGAGUCGGAAUUCACUAAAACCCAUGUAGCUGAGCACACCUGUGAGGGGUUUUCUUGAGUGGAUCAUUUGAAGUAGGAAGACCCACCCUAAAUCUGGCCCACACCUUCUGGUAGCAGCCUGAAGAAAAAGACUUGGAAGAUGGAAGCUUUUGGGAUUUUUUGCCUGCUUGCCUUCACUCUUGCUGGCAAGUUCUUCUGAAAGAAAAUAAAACUUGAGACCUGUGAUUCAUGUAAUUUAUGUCAAAUAGCCCAAAGAGUUGUUUGUGAGCUUUGAAACCUGGGGCUGAGAACAUAGCAGAACAGGCCAGGACAUGCCCAGGCAGGCCCAUCGUUAAGACAUUCUUGAGGCUGCUUGGCCAUAAAGAUAAAGAGAAUGACAUGCUGGACUGGCCCAGCGCCUCCCUAUCUCCCACCCUUCUGACCUAAGUUAAAUGUUAACAGGCUGCUGAUGUUUAAAUGGACCAAUCAUGUGAAACUGCGCCAAUUCCUCCCCCAGCCCCAGACCCUUUUCUAUAAAAACCCCUAGCUUCUAAGCCUCGUGGUCGGAACCACUGUCUCCUGCGUGAGAUACGUUUUGACUGGGAGCGCCACCAUUAAAUGGUCUAAUCCACUGUCUCCUGCAUGAGAUACGUUUAGACCGGAGCUCCGCCAUUAAACUACCUCGUGUUUUUACAUCAAGACGUUCUGUUCUGUUCGUGAUUCUUGGGUGCACGCCGAAUCGGGAGUUGAGUGGGGGUUUCCCCACUAGGUUCUUUCACUUCCACCCUGUUCCUGAGACAUCCCUUCGCUGGUGUUAGUACCUGCAUUUUCAGGAUUCCGAUGUACAUGGAAGACUAGCGGCUCUCUGAGAUCUCCCAGGUCUCCGGCACCAGAGUGGGACUGCUGAGACAUCCAGUCUCAUGGUCUGAAUCAACAACAACCAGACCCUUUAGCUUUUUUUGUCAGGAGACAGCCAUUGUUGAGCUACCCGGACCACAGUCUGUAAGCCACGCUAAUAAAUCCUUUUUUAAUACCAUUCUAUCAGCUCUGUUCCUCUUCCCUGUGUGUUCUCUCUCUCUCCCUCGUUUGUUUUUCCCAGAGUUCCUUUCACCUUCUAACAUAAAGCACACUUGCUUAUCUUGCUUGUUGCUGUUGUUCACCUGCAUUGAGUGGGAGGCUGCCCCUCUGUCCGUGGAUUGAUUGGCUGUUGGAAAUGCUCACCUGGAGGAAUGAUCGGAGGCUGGAUGCAGGAAACAAGUACUUUUAGGUGGUGGUCCCCAGGAGAAGAGGACUUGGUGAUGAGCUCUGGGAAGCUCUGUUGUGACUGCCUGGAGGAAGUUGCUGGACAUAGCCCCAGAACUCGGGUCCCAGAGGGGGUCUGGUCUGAUGGUGGAGCUGCUGAGACCGUGGCAUUUCAGGAAGCUACACUUGGUUGGAAGAAUUAGAAGAGCCUCACAUACACAGAGAUUCCCGGAGUUCUGAAGAUCUGUGGGAGGCUUGAAAACCUGGUAAGCACCUGAGAGGUGACUUAGUGGUUAGGAGCACUGGCUGCUUUUCCAGAGGACCCUCAUUAGAUUCCCAGCACCCAAAUGACAUCUCACAACUGUCUGUAACUCGAGCCCCAGGGGAUCCAACACACUCUUCUCAUGCAUGGACUUACAUGUAGGCAAAACAUUGAUAUUCAUAAAAUUAGAACAACAGCACCUUGCUGAAUAUAGAUAGCUACAUAUUUGAGGAGAUAAUAAAAGAGCUUACAAGCAAGUCUUAAGCCAGCUGGGCAGUGCACUGCCUUAAUCCUGGCACUCAGGAGGCAGAGGCAGAGGCAGAGGCAGAGGCAGAGGCAGAGGCAGGGGCAGGGGCAGGGGCAGGGGCAGGGGCAGGGGCAGGGGCAGGGGCAGAGGCAGGGGGAGAGAGAGAGAGAGAGAGAGAGAGAGAGAGAGAGAGAGAGAGAGAGAGAGAGAGAGAGAGAGAGAGAGAGGCAGAGGCAGGAGGAUUUCUGUGAAUUCAUUUCUGUAGCCUGUUCUACAGAACGAGUUCCAAGCCAGCCACACUUGCAUAAUUAUCUCCUCACCCUGAAAAGGUAAAUCUUAAAAAGAAAUACGAAGUCAGGCAGUGAUGGCGCACACCUUUAAUUCCAGCACUUGGGAGGCAGAGGCAGGCGGAUUUCUGAGUUUGAGGCCAGCCUGGUCUACAGAGUGAGUUCCAGGACAGCCAAGGCUAUACAGAGAAACCCUGUCUCAAAAAACCGAACCAAACCAACCAACCAACCAACCAACCAACCAAACAAACAAAUAAACAAACAAAAAGAAAGAAAUACCAACAAAGGCAUGGUGGUACAGUCCUGUAAUCCAGCUCUCUGCUGGCAGAGGAGGAAGUCAUGUGUUAGAGGCCAGCCUGGGCUAUCUAGCCAACACUUAUCCAACAACAACAACAACAACAACAACAACAUCGAUAAAUUAAAGCUGUUCCAGAUAACCUUGAGCCAGAAGUCCAGCACUGUUUUUUUUUUAAAUAAACUGUACUAUAUAAAAAAAAUGCAAAUAAAAAAAGGCAUCACUCUUUAAAGGAAUAUAGCACAAUCUAGAGCUUGACAAAAUAAAAAUUUCAACAUAUGUCAUCUAAUGAAAGUUAAUAGCUAUGUAAAGAAGCAGAAAAGUAUUACUCAUUGCCACAAGAAAAAUCUGCCAACAGAAAAAGAACAAAAGAGAGACGCUGGACAGCGUUGGCAGGCGCCCGAUACUGAAGCCGUGAUUGUAAAUACACUCCACAUGCUCAAAAUGCAGACGGUAGCACGAGCAUGAGGAGAUAAGUGGAAUAUUAAGAAAAACACGAUUUAUAAAAACGAAAACAGAUAUCUGAAAUGGAAAAAAAAAAAAAAACUCGUUAAAUAAAUUAUUCUGUCCCUGCUGCUGCUAGCACAACCACACGGGGGCGCUCCAAUAGUUCUCACGGCCAGUGAUGCCCACCACCACCCCGACCCUUCCCUGGGUGACUACAUUCUUUUUCUCCAUUUCUCAGUAUUCUGAGAAUACUUCUUUUCUAUUUGGUCCCCAAUUGCAAGCUGAACUUCGCGUGGUAGUGACCUGUUCUCUGGAGACCUCUGUCAGCUGGUGUCUCCCGUGCUUUCUGGAGAUCUCUGUUGACAAGUGUUUCCCGAGCCCCUCUGUGACC
RNAcentral lists this long non-coding RNA (3500 nucleotides) under Mus musculus (house mouse). Its description in RNAcentral is "predicted gene, 39323". The record is from RNAcentral. Lineage: Eukaryota; Metazoa; Chordata; Mammalia; Rodentia; Muridae.